Vicugna pacos (alpaca) is the source of this 99-nucleotide non-coding RNA. NCBI's taxonomy places the organism in Eukaryota, Metazoa, Chordata, Mammalia, Artiodactyla, Camelidae. The record is from RefSeq and is a predicted model, not a curated record.
CUCCGUUCCCUCUGGCCCUGUUUCCUCAUAUCUAAAAUGGGGAUAUUCAUGGAACCUGUCUCAUAGGGCCGUUACAAAUUAUUACAUUAAAUGAGAUAA